Molecule: long non-coding RNA, 4799 nt
Organism: Triticum aestivum (bread wheat)
Lineage: Eukaryota; Viridiplantae; Streptophyta; Magnoliopsida; Poales; Poaceae
Exons: 3
Source: RefSeq, a predicted model, not a curated record
UCGCGCGCGUCCGCAAUUAUUUUCCUGUUCGCGCGCAGCUCGGGGAGUGGCGGGCGGGUAGGUCGCCUGCGCCGCCGACAUCGCAGCGACUCUCCGGCUGUGCUCUGCUCCACCACCCAACCACCCUUUCGACGUACUCCAGGAGGAUUCAACCGGCUGUUACCGGAGCCCGCGCCGUGCCCGUGCUGCGCCCGUGCGAGGACAACGCGACAAGGGAAAAGAAGGUCAUAAUCCCGAGCUUUCUGGGAACUUCGCCUGGGAUAUUUGUGUUGUUUCCAAGAAACUCCAAUAGCCAGAGAACAACCCAUGUGUAGAAAAAUAAUAUGAUACUUCCGAGCCACAGGUCACGUGAUAAUGGCUCAACGAAAAUCCAUGUGUUGUUAGUUCUGCUGCUCUUGGCUGGAACAACCAUUGCCACUCCUGAUUCUGUGUACGGUAGAGUGAAGUCGACGUAAGACAUUCUGUUCUCUGAGAUUGUUAUGUCUCCAAUUGCUAUAUCGUAUUUCUGCAAGUGCAUCAAACAGAGUUACUUUACUGACCAGCAAAAUGAUGAUGCUUAAUCUUUGUUAUGAAAGCUGUAACUAUGCCAUGAGGAUAUGAAUAGGUUAACUGAGAAGAGCCUAACUAUGCCAUGUGUUCUUAUCAUGUAAAGAUGACAUGUAUAUUCCUUUGAUAUAGUACUUUACCUUAUGAGUUGCAAGCAACAGAUGGCAUGUUAUUACAAUUUUUUACUACAAUAGCAUAGUACUUGCAAGAAUGGUUACCAGACCAGUAGGGAAGCAUGAUAUGGUGGUUAUACACACUAUACAAUGGAGAAAUAUGGCCCCAGAUAGAAUUCAAUUUGGGUAUUUAUCCUCGUCGUAUCCUUUAUAUGGAAAUCCAGGUCCAGGGGAUCAUUCCCUUGACUCUUACUGAUGAUAUUUUUUUUACUCCAUCAGAAAAUGAACAAAAAGCUGCCAAAUUGGCCUAUUUCUUGCGCGUAGCUACCAAUUGAAGUAUUUUGAGGAUUUUUUUUAAAACUGAAUUGAAUGGAGAAAAUAAGAACUGGAAGAAGAAAAUUUUUCUCAACAGGGGGAGGAAGUCCCUUUGAAAUUGGAUUUGUUGCUGUAAGGGGAUUUUCAAGUAUUAUCUAAAGGAAGGAACAAACGAGGAUAAGAGAAAAUUCCUUUUAAUUUAUUUUGUCCACGUGAGAUGUAUUGCAUACUAUUCUUCCAUUUUCAUCCGAAAGGACUUAAAAAAAAAUCUAUUUCACUAUCUCAUUCCAUCUAGUGCUAAGAAAAAACCCAAUGCACUGAAAUUCCUGCUCAACAUCUCCUCUCAAUUGCAAUACAUUAUUUGGGUGGGUUGUGUGCUAUUAUUUUUUACAUGGUUGCAUUAAACUAAAAUGUAGUAUCCCUCCGAUCCAUAUAACUUGUCGCUGCUUUAGUACAACUUUACUAAAGCAGCGACAAGUAAUAUGGAUCGGAGGGCGUACAUAAAUGUGGGAGUAGUGAAAUCAUGGCAUGCAUAUAAUUUUACUUUUUGCAAAUUUGAUGCUGAAAGUUGAAGCCCUGAUGCACUUACUACCUUAAGGUAAACUUGGUAAACAAAAUCAUCAUAACCUCCAGUGCUUGUGUCAUUCGUGGUGCCAAAUGCUACAUAUUCAUAAGGUAGUGCAUAGGGAAGUCUUUUAACUGCCUCUUCGAAUACAUCAAUUGAAAGGCCUUCUGCUUUAGUUGCCCCUGUGAUAGGAUCCUUUCCACUUGUCAUAAAUUGUGGGUAUACACUUACGUGCACUCCCACUCGAAGCUUCUUACCAUUUACAGCAGCUUCCCACCCUCUGGGUACCUCUGUUGAUGUUCCUGGCCAAAUCACGGGGUUUAGUUCAGGAACUAAGCCUGAAUGCUCUGUCAUUGAUUCUCCUUGAUAUAGUCGCCGGGAAAUACCAUUUUCUGCAGUCCAAAACCCAAUUUCUUUCCACCCUUUACCAACUACAUUUAUUAUUUGAAAUGUAGAUGCUUGCAGCUGCCUGCCUGAAAGGUCAAAAUGACCACUCAAACCUCUAAAUUUGUAUUGCAAGAUGGUCUUUAGGAGAUCCGGGCCAUAAACAGAUGUUCCCAGGCUUGUCAUGUUUCUUGCAACUGCUGGUUUUUGAAAUGAUGUCUUGUUCUUAAUACCAAGCUUUUCAACUGCUUGUGCUACCGCCCAUAUAGUAUCAUAGCCCCAGAGUUCAAAUAUGUUUAGUUUCACUGGUAGAUCAUUUGGGUUAUCAAUUUGUAAUCUCCUAUUCCAGCGUAUGGUGAAGCUAUCCAGUUCUGCUGAUUUAGGUGUAUAAAACUUUACACCUAAAACACCAUUCAUUGCUUCCAUGACAGAAGGGUUUGUGGAGUCUAUGACAUUGGUUAGUCCAUCUGUCAUGAUCCAGACGUCUGCUUUCUUCAUCAUACCAACCUCUUUUGCCUUUGUGAAGAGGAUCGAAGCUAAAUCAGGUGACAUAUGCACCAAGAAGACCCUUGUUUGCAUUGUCAUUAGCUUAUAGAGUUCUUGGGUAAUUUGUUCAUUAGAUGCCGACAGAGGGAUCACACUCCGAUAGGGAACACGAGCAUCAAUUUCUUGGAGGGCGUCGAUGAGAUAUGGUAUGACACCUCUACCAUAGUCAGUUUCUUCAUAAAUUGGCACCACCUGCCUCCACCCGUAGGCCUUGAUUAGGGAGGCAAUGCUAUUCACUUGUGUAGAGUCACUCAAUGUUGCACGAAUAAAAUAUGGAAGACUGCCAGAGUAAAGAGAUGGGCUUGUUGCUGUGAAGGAGAUGAUAGGGACCUGACUUUUAUUCCCCAGAUCCGAUACAAAUGCUGCUUGUGAAGAUGUUUGAGGGCCUAUGACAGCUUGGACAUUGUAAUUCUCUAGCAGGUCGAGAGCUGUAAAGGUUCAUAAUCAAAUUUUAGGUGAAUGCAAAUAUGUGCUGCCAGAAGCUUCAUAAAUUCAGAACCGAAGAGUAAAAAAAUGACAUAGUAUUUACAAAAUAUAUAUGUUGGUUCAGAGCACUCUGUAGCUAUGCUUUUGUUGUCCUAGUUAACUUAAACUUGUGGAAAACAGGAUUGAAAAUUAUUACAGAUUUGCAGAUGAAGCUACAAAUUUGAACCCACAAUAUUUGGAUGAAUGUAACUAAACUUGUUGUCAGUAUAAAAUAUAAUUACAGUUCAGUCUGUUUACUUGACUUGCUUGUUUUGAAAUAUGACAUUUAUAACCUGUAUUACUAGUUACGCUGAUAAAGUUAAGGUUUCUCAGACUAACAAACCCAUCAAGGGAAAGCUAAGGUAAACAUAAUCGGGUUAUUAAAUAUGUAUGCACUAACUUUUCUGAGAGUAAAACUCAUAUAAUAUUUCCUUGCAAAGAAGUGUGAAUAUUUGUUGGCAAUAGUAAUAGUUUAGUAACCAAACAUUGUCCUUUUGAUGUUUCUGAACUUUAGCAGGAGAUAUAUGCUCAAAGUACUUCGUUUAACAGGAAUGUAAUAAACUAGCCUUGUUGCUGUUUAUUUAUUUGAUUUACAACUGUUCUUCCCAUGGGCAUUUGUUAGCUGGAUGUCUAUUGUUAAACAGAUGAAGUAUUAUGGAGCACAUGGAAAGUAAAGAUAUAGCCAAAAAAACACUCGUUCCUAAGUAAAAACCAUUAAAUCCUUUUGAUAAAUGUUACUAUCAAACGCUUCCAACUUUGUCCAUUAGUAGUGGCACAUUGGUAAAUAACCAUGUUGAUUUCCAUCAAAACUGUGUUCAUAAUAUUGCAGUUCUGUAGCUUGUACUAAGUUGAAUGAUGAAAGUCAGUUAUAUUCCUUUGCUCGCUGUGUUCAGAGUUCUUGCCCUUUCCACCAGCCUGAUGUAUGGCCUGGGGUGGAAUUUAAACUUUUCUGGCUCAGCUACUUUGGUUUAGCCGAGCGCUGUGAACAGUAAUCUGUGUUUUUUUACCUCGUUUAAUUAGGGGGGGGGGGGGGGCUUUCGAUAAAAAAGACAGUUAUGUAAGUUGUUUUUUUAUGACAGCGUAAAAAGUUGUACUUCAAAGACAAUAAUAAGUUGAGAAAGCAUAUUUGUAAGCAACGUAGGGAGUGGGAAAGAGUUUUUCCUUUUCAUGAUAGGCUGCAGAACUUUUACCUGCUGAUGCAGCUUCUACGCUGUUACUUUUCGAGCCCCUGAUGUGGAGAACUACCUUUGGGCUGUAGUUUCUGUGGACUGUAUAGAAGUCUUCCAGAGCCAUCAAAAUGCUGGUCCGCGCCAUCUUGCCCCCCAAUGAUUCCAAGUCGAGGAUCACUCCAACGGGGAACUCAUCUGUUCCACUCGUGGUAGCAUUUUGAGCUACGCCAGAAUGGAUGAUGAGUAACAGGAAGAGGGUGAUUUGAGAUGCUCUCUCCAUUGACAGUGCUGCAAGGUUUGUGAAGUAUUCGGUGCCCAGAAUCUAAGGCCACCUUGGCUUUUAUAGAGUUGGUUUCUUCAAGCUAAAAGCUUAGCAUGACGGCGUAGUUGUAGUUUCCGAAGGUCAAAUGACGUAGCACGGCCGACCAAGCAAUUUAAAUACAAAUACGUAGUUUAGGACAUGCUGCAAUGAUAGAGUUCUAUAAUAGUGGAGUACUCCUCCUCUGCAUGUUACCCAGGUACUUAAAUACUAACUGACCAGUAGCUCCUUCCAUUCAAUCUUGCAAUAUAUCACUUGAAAGUGACAGGAGCUGUUAUCUAAUUGUUUUCAAACGUUUGCUCUGUUUCCUGAAGCAACUGAAUUCUGUUGACAUGAUUUUUGCUGUUUAUAUAAAUUCCAAUUGCCCCCUUUUAAUA